This 337-nucleotide unclassified non-coding RNA is filed under the name soil metagenome. Its description in RNAcentral is "partial contains 5.8S ribosomal RNA, internal transcribed spacer 2, and large subunit ribosomal RNA". The stretch from base 1 to 120 matches the Rfam family "5.8S ribosomal RNA", at positions 35 to 154 of the family's 154-position model. The record is from RNAcentral.
GAUGAAGAACGUAGCGAAAUGCGAUAAGUAGUGUGAAUUGCAGAAUUCAGUGAAUCAUCGAAUCUUUGAACGCACAUUGUGCCCCUUGGUAUUCCAUGGGGCAUGCCUGUUCGAGCGUCAUUUGUACCUUCAAGCUUUGCUUGGUGUUGGGUGUUUGUCUCGCCUCUGCGUGUAGACUCGCCUUAAAACAAUUGGCAGCCGGCGUAUUGAUUUCGGAGCACAGUACAUCUCGCGCUUUGCACUCAUAACGACGACGUCCAAAAGUACAUUUUUACACUCUUGACCUCGGAUCAGGUAGGGAUACCCGCUGAACUUAAGCAUAUCAAUAAGCGGAGGA